GCGGGCGUGGCGGAACUGGUAGACGCGCGGGAUUUAGGAUCCCGUGGGGCAACCCGUGCAGGUUCGACUCCUGUCGCCCGCA
RNAcentral lists this transfer RNA (82 nucleotides) under Planctomycetota bacterium. RNAcentral's name for it is "tRNA-Leu". It matches the Rfam family "tRNA". Rfam says of the family: Transfer RNA (tRNA) molecules are approximately 80 nucleotides in length. Their secondary structure includes four short double-helical elements and three loops (D, anti-codon, and T loops). The record is from RNAcentral. Lineage: Bacteria; Pseudomonadati; Planctomycetota. RNAcentral also lists the same sequence under 2 other names.